RNAcentral lists this ribosomal RNA (465 nucleotides) under Vreelandella stevensii. RNAcentral's name for it is "partial 16S ribosomal RNA". It matches the Rfam family "Bacterial small subunit ribosomal RNA", at positions 338 to 795 of the family's 1533-position model. Lineage: Bacteria; Pseudomonadati; Pseudomonadota; Gammaproteobacteria; Oceanospirillales; Halomonadaceae. The record is from RNAcentral.
CCUACGGGAGGCAGCAGUGGGGAAUAUUGGACAAUGGGCGAAAGCCUGAUCCAGCCAUGCCGCGUGUGUGAAGAAGGCCUUCGGGUUGCAAAGCACUUUCAGUGGGGAAGAAAGCCUUGGGGCUAAUACCCUCGAGGAAGGACAUCACCCACAGAAGAAGCACCGGCUAACUCCGUGCCAGCAGCCGCGGUAAUACGGAGGGUGCGAGCGUUAAUCGGAAUUACUGGGCGUAAAGCGCGCGUAGGCGGUCUGAUAAGCCGGUUGUGAAAGCCCCGGGCUCAACCUGGGAACGGCAUCCGGAACUGUCAGGCUAGAGUGCAGGAGAGGAAGGUAGAAUUCCCGGUGUAGCGGUGAAAUGCGUAGAGAUCGGGAGGAAUACCAGUGGCGAAGGCGGCCUUCUGGACUGACACUGACGCUGAGGUGCGAAAGCGUGGGUAGCAAACAGGAUUAGAUACCCGAGUAGUC